AAUGAGAGGAGACUGAUUUACCAUGGCCUUCAGUAGAAAGGAUAAAAAGAUAAGUUUUGGAAUUCAACAGAAUUGUGUUUAACCCUGUCUUUGCCACUAAUUUACUAUAACGCAGAUUGUUUUAUCUGUAAAAUGGGUAUAUUAAAAUCUACCUCACAAGACUAAACGGAGAAUAUCAAGAAAAUAUAGUGUCUAGUUUAUAGUAUGUACCCCCAAAUGGUUCUCAUUCCUGCCGUAUUUCCCUUGACAAAAUGAAUUCUGCCACACCUUCUCCCUAAACUACCUUUUAAGAUGUUAAUUUUACUGUGCUAAGGAGUCUUCUAACCUGCCAGCCAGUGAAGGGGGAAAAGCCCUAAAGAGACCUAACAUCUCUCUACCAGAGAUGGGCUUUCUAUAAGAGAAUGAAGGGCCCAGGGCUCUGUGCUGGGCUGCUGGCCCAGCUCACUAGCUUCUCUCUGCUUUACUUCCACCAUUACUCAAAUAAACUCAUCAGCCCAAGAAAGCAAAUUUACAACAUGUCUGCUAUCCACUGUGAGACCAUCUUGGCUUCUCUCACCCUUUUCAAACAAGCUCCUACCACAAAACCUAUAAAAACAAUGAACUUUUAUAUAUAACUAUACACUUACAGCCACUAAGUCACGGUGUGCCAAGCAGGAAGACAGGUAUCUCUGUCUUGAACGUUCCACUGCUAACUCCUACUGUAAGUCAGUAUAACCUAGUAUUUGGCCACUGAUGAGGUCUCUAUCUGAUGAGCUCCUCCCUAUCAGAAACUGCUAUCUUCAAGGUAUGCAGUCAGCAUUCCUUGAGAGCCAUCAGAAGUAACCCUCUGUGAGACAAAGUGAUGCUGUAAUGUUGCAGGAUAUGCAGGUUUAGACAUGAGAGAUUUUCUCAGCUCCAUGUUUCCAGAGAAUAACUCUGUGGCCAACUUAAUUUGCUCACAUACAGUCUGUUCUCUCCUUGUUUAGUUUUUCCUCUGAGCAUCUUACUAGAGGGUCUGGAAUAUGCAUGGAUGAGAUGCCCUCUUUCCUGACCAUACUUAAUAGUAGGUACUAUAAGAGCAGAGGUAAGAAAUAUAAUUGGAGGUAAGGGGUGGAGGAAGACAUGUGCUUCUAAACUGGUAAGAAAAGUCAGAUGUAAACAAAGAACAGGUGAUAACUACAGCUACAAGAUCAAUGGUUACUUCCUAUACGUCUAAAGUGGGGAUCCACUUAUCUGAAAUGGCUUGGCCUCCAAGUCUUCUCAGUGCCUUCCACCUACAUUUAGCCCCCAAAUCCCCUCAGGAGCCAUUUCUUCCCCGUCCAUUUCCCCCUGCUACCUGGCUAUUCCACCAUCAUUCCAUGAAAAAUUAAUAUAUAUGAGUCAUUAUAACUCUUAUAUUGUAGCAUUUCUCUGUUCCCCUGUCACGAAUAAUCAUAAUUUUAUACAUGUUCUUUCAUAAUUACUUCAACCAACAAUUACUCUCAGAUAUAAUGAACUAUGUAGAGCCUUGAAGCUAUAGCAAUAUUUUGCCUAAAUUAGUGAUGUUGCCAGUAUUUAUUGAGCACUUAUUAUGGGCUGACAAUAUACAAAACUUUACACAUUUCUCAUUUAACCUUGACAACUUUUUGAAAUGGUCUGUACUAUUAUCUUUACUGUAUAGGUGAGGACUCUGGCUAGAAAAGGUUAGGUAACUUACUAACAGAUGGCACAGUCAGAAUAAUAGCUGAGGUCUAAGACUACAGCACCUGUUCUCUUAACUCUCAUAUCCACUGCUUUUAAGCACUUGCGGCAACAGAUAACAUAAAACAUUAGUGUCUGUUUUCACUUCCUCACAUCCCAUUCUCUCCUUUACUGACUUCAAUCAGGCUUCCCACUAAAAUUGUUCUUAUCAAGGUAAAUGAAAACAUUGUCACUCACAAAAUCAAUAUCCAGUGCACAGUCUUCAGUUUAUUCAACCUCUCCCAGCAUUUGGCAGAAUCAAUUACAACUUCCCUGAAUCAAUCAUUGUCUCUGUUUGGUUACCAAGACCCCCCUGGUUUUUCUCCUACUUCACUUAUCUAUCCUUCUAGGUCUCCUUUGCUGGGCCCUUCUCUGCUUUCUGAUAUUUUAAAUUUGAGUGCCCCCAAGUUUGUCAUUAGACUUCUUUUUUAUACUCACUCCCAAUGCUAGCCAUCCAGUAUCAAGACUCAAAUGCCAUCUGUAGAUCAAAGGCUACCACAUGUAGAUCUCCAGUCUCAAUCUGUGCUCUAAGCUCCAGACUCAUAUCCAGCUGCAUACCACAUCUAAGCAUCUCUACUUGAUUGUUUAAUAAUAGGCUUCUGAUAUUUAAAAUGCUCAAAACUAAACUCUUGGUUUCCUCUCCUGAAUCUGCUCUACUCCCAGUAUGCACCAUUUAAAUAAAUGGCACAAUCAUUAACCUAGUUGCUGUGGCCAAAAACCUGGGAGUCAUUCUUGACUCUCCUUUUUAUCUUACACCCAUGCCUUAUUCAUUAUCAAAUCCUGUCAACUCUGUCUUCAAAAUGUACCCUCAGUCUUUUUUCCAUCUCCACCCUCAUCUCCCUAAUCUAUACCACUAUCAUUUCUCACAUGGAUUUCUGCAACCACUUCUUCACUGGUUUCUUUGUUUCCAUUCUUGCCUUGCUGCCACCCUUCCUCCACACAGCAGCCAGCCAUGUUUUUAAAACAAAAUUCAGACACCAACACUCCUUGCUCAGCUCCCUUCAGCAGCUCCCCUUUCACUUGGAAUUUGCUCCUUUCACUGCAGCCAGAAUUCCAUCUGCUCAAGUGUCUCCUUGGAGGAGGAGAUUUCUCUGACAUCCUGUAUAGAACAGCAUCCUCUAUUCCUCCAUUUAUCUCUCCCUCUUAUUAGACUUCCAAAAAAUUUAUAGAACUUAUCUCUGCUUAAACAUAUACUAAAUAUUAUAUAUUAAAUGUAUAUAUGAAAUAUUUUAUAUUUGUUUAUUUCUUUACUUUUGCUCUUCUACCCAACUAGAAUGUAAGCUCCGUAAGGCAGGGUCCUUGUCUUUUCUGUCCUUGGUUGAAUCUCCAGCACCAGAGCAGGACUUGCCACAUAAUAUGUACACAUUAAAUGAAUGUUAUAUGUAAUAUGUAUUUAUUAAAUGAAUGUAUUUGAAGUCUUAUCUUCACUACUUUUUUUUUUUUUUGAGACAGAGUCUCGCUGACGCCCAGGCUGGAGUGCAGUGGCGCGAUCUCGGCUCACUGCAGGCUCCGCCUCCCGGGUUCACACCAUUCUCCUGCCUCAGCCUCCCGAGCAGCUGGGACUACAGGCGCCUACCACCUUGCCCGGCUAAUUUUUUGUAUUUUUAGUAGAGACGGGGUUUCACUGUGUUAGCCAGGAUGGUCUCGAUCUCCUGACCUCCUGAUCCGCCCGCCUCAGCCUCCCAAAGUGCUGGGAUUACAGGCGUGAGCCACCGCACCCGGCCUCUUCACUACUUCUUAGUCCUAUAACCUUACACAAAUUUCUUACUCUCCCUACAUUAUAAAUUUCUCAAUUAUAACUUGUUUUUUAAAAAUAAACAACCCUCCCUUAUUUUUCUUUCUGAUGCUUUAUAGGUACUUACUAAUAUAUUCAGCCUAUCCUGUGUAUGACUUUGAUACAACAAUUCCAGAGACUGGUCAAUGUUGUGGGUUGAAAUGUGUCACUCCAAAAUUCACAUGUUGAAGUCCUUGCCCCCAGUACCUCAGAAUGUGACCUUAUUUGGAAAUAGAAUUGUUGCAGAUGUUAUUAGUUAAGAUGAGGUCACACUGGAAUAAGGUGGGCCACUACUUCAAUCUAGUUCAAUAUGGCUGAUGUUCUCAUAAGAACACGAAAUUUGAGCACAGAGGUGCACACAGGGAGAAUGUUUUGUGGAGAUGGGAGUUAUGGUGCCACAAACCAAGAAACUACCAGAAGGCAGAGAAGAGGCCUAGACCAGCUUGAUGCAAUGAAUCUUUUGGCUUCAGAGCUACAUGUUGAAGAUGAAGGAGCCAUAGUGUGGAAAAGCCAAAGUUCCUGAAUCACUGACCGGGGGAGAGUUGCCCAUUAGCCAAGAAGACCGGCUUUAGACUUUCUGAGACAGUAAAUAAGCUUCUAAUUGUUUAAACCUUUAUUUAUUUUGACUUUUGAUUGUAACAGCUACUGGUAUUAUUAUAACUGACAGGUUAUUGUUAGUUUUUACAGUACCAAAUUGAGGAGAAGUGUCAGCCCUUGUCAUAUGCCUGAAAUAAAUUCACUGUAGAUUGGCUGACCAUGCUGGGUCUGGGGGCAUGAGUGCACACAGGAAAAGUUGUCUGGUGAAUUUGAGCAUUAUUUUAGUACUGUUGAACAGUCACUGGACAGUUUGAGUGUAGUAUGCAGCCUCUAAUUACCUUCCCCAACUUUGGGGAAGCAGAGUCCUUGUUUUGCCCUCCAGUCCCUUCAGGAAGGGCCAAAUGAACAGCAGGCAAUCAAACCGUGCACAGCAGUAGGGUGUGGGAACAGCGAAGGCAGCUCUGUGCCUGCUGCUCCACCCUUCUCUCCUACCUUCCUUUGUGGAGGACACCAUACCCUGUCCUCUUCCCUUUUGAUAAAAGGGAAAGUAAUACAAAUUAAAGAUGUGACCCAAUCACAUUAUUUUGUCCUUGCUUAGUGCUUUUUAAAGCAGUAUCCUACACUCUAAAUGUGGAAGGCAGAGACAGCUUUUAGCUCUCCGGGUGAAUAAUGCCAAAGUAUUUGAUUGCUAUUGUCUCUCUUUCAGAGGGUUUGCUGUCAGAAGGAAAAGCUCUGAGUCACUCUUUAGAAAAGGUGAACGGAGGAUAUGCAACCACAAGCCAAAGGUGACAGAUCGGAAAGGGACCAAUCACUAGGAGCAGGGUUUCUCAGGUUUGUGAGCCCCUUCCCUCAUGCAAUUGUGUCAAAUUGGGCCAAAAAUGCGUUCUGUAUCUUUCUCACAGAGGAGUGCUGUAAAACCCAAUGGGCAUGUAAAGUGAAGUGCAGUCAUAUCUUAUAAAAAUAGCUAUUGAUUCCUGAGUGUUUACUGUGAAGCCUUCUUACAUAGCUUGUUUAAUCUUCUUGACAAGCUUAAUACAUAAGUAUUAUUAUUGGCCCACUUGAGAGCUAUUGAAACUGAGGCUCAGAGGUUAAGCAAAGCAGUGUCCCCAGGAUCACACAGGUAGUGAACAACGGAGCUGGGACUCUAACUAGGAAUUGAGGGAUGCCAAAAGACUACAUCUCUCACCACCAUGCCCUUCAAGGACUUCAAACAAAUGAAAAGCAUUAGCAAGGUAAAUGGCUCUUCUGCUGGAGAAUCUAGAAUGUCCAAAGCCAAAAUGUCUACCCUUGCAUAGAAAGAACAUCCUACAAGGCUGCCUGUGUUCAGCAUAUUAAGUGCCUAAAAGAAUAAUGAAACAGAUAAGAAAAGGGAAGAACAAAGGCCAUUGUCCCGGGCCCUGGAGACUAGCCUGCCUGAACAUGAUUCACAGUCAUUCAUGGACUCAGACCUCAUAGAUUUUGAACAUCAGAUCAUUGCAGAUAGAAAUGUGAACUUCCAGAUAGCAACCAUAUCUUCUUGCUGAAAAUAGCUUCCCUCCCCCCAGCACAAAGUCAUAAAGAAAGAAAAAAGAAUCUUAAUUUCCUUCUGCUUCCUGUUUGCCAGACUGUUCCUUUUUUCCUUCAACCUCACGGUCCCAUUGUUUCUCUCAUUUCUUCUUAGUAUGCUCUGUUUAAACCAGAUGGAGCAGUAGCAUUUUGAAGCGAUUUUUGAACCCAACGGACUCGCGUCAUAAACAAAUAAACAAAUGAACACUUUAGCAAUUGGCAAAUCAGGCAGGAAUGGGUUUAACAACUGAGCUGGAAAUGUAGCUGAAAAUCUACUCCAUGAUGAAAGAUCGGAAUGUGGUACAAGUUCUUUUCACCGAGUAGGUAACCACACUGACUUCUUUCAGUAAACUGGGGGCUAAAGAGAGAUGCAGUGGGGAGGCAGCGGCCAAGAGCUUCAGAGACACAUUCAGUGGCCCCCUGUCUACUUUGCAUUACCAAUAUGCUGAUAAAUUAUCCCAUGGUUGCUAUGAAAUAUUUGUUCACAACCUAUAAAAGUAAGGCAUUUUCAAGUGCUGGUUUUCUUUAAAUACAUUCUCUUUCCUUUAAGUCUUACAUAAUUCAACUAUCAUUCCAUGUGAGGCUUAAUUUAAAGAAAACCGUAAGUUGAGUUAAUUCACUGUGAAGGGUUAUGGAAGCUAUAUUUAUUCCACAGAGUCAGCAGCAGUGUAAUGGAGUAUCUAUUAUAUGCCUGACCUAGUGCCAGGUUCUGGGAAUACAAACAUGAAUAGCCCAGCCCCUGCCCUUAAGAUGUUCACAGAACUCGGAGGAUUCACAAACUAAGUGAAAGUGAAAGACGUGUUACCACUAUUAAGAUAGAAGAAAAUAUAUGAGGUGCUUAGCAAUCACCUCUAAUGAAGGAGAAAUUAUGUAUGGGGAAGGGAAGAGGAUAGAGUUUGUGAUUCAGUAAAAGAGUCCCAGCUGGGUGCGGUGGUUCACGCCUCUAAUCCCAGCACUUCGGGAGGCCGAGGUGGGCGGAUCACCUGAGGUCAGGAGUUCGAGACCUGUCUGACUAAGAUGUUGAAACCCCAUCUCUACUACAAGUACCAAAAUUAGCUGGGCAUGGUAGCAGGUGCCUGUAAUCCCAGCUACUUGGGAGGCUGAGGCAGGAGAAUCACUUAAACCUGGGAGGUGGAGGUUGCAGUGAGCCGAGAUGGUGCCACUGCACUCCAGUUUGGGUGACACAGUGAGACUCCAUUUCAAAAAAAAAAAAAAAAAAAAGAGAAUCCCCUGUCUGUAUACCUAUAAGGCCUAAAAAGCUGUUAACCAAGGGAGAAGAGGUUGAGAUGAUGGUCUGGACAGAGAGCACAGGAGGAAUUGGGACAGGCUCCACUGUGGUGUGAAACAACCUGAAGGUUAUGGUCACUGUAGAUAUUUGAACCCAGUUGGAAAGCAGACUCUGAGGAGAGAAAUGAGAGGCAGGCCUGGGAGUCAGGGAGUGGAUCGUUCUCUGUCAUGUGGAUCAGGGGACUCCAUCUCAUAGGCCAUAGGAGUCUCUGUAAGACUUUAAACAGCAGAGUGAUCAUGAUCUGAUUUGCACUUUAGAAAAUCACCUUGGCAACCAUGUGGAGGAUGGACUGGAGGUGUUGAGGCUGGGAGCAUAGAGAACAGUUAGGAGGCAAUGGCAGCAGUCCAGGUAGGAGGGAUAGGGCCUGACCUUAGAUGGCAGCAGUGGGGAUGUAAAGAAAAGGAGGGAGAACUAAUAUUAGGAAGGAGAAAAUCUGGGCUGGAGGUAAUGAAAUCUGGAUUCUAGUCCUAGCUUUGGCACAAUCUCUUAAUGUGGCCUUAGACAAGUUCUUCCUUUUCUGGACCCUGUUUCCCAAUGUGGCAGGUGAGAGGGGGACAUUUUGUGGCUAUAUGAGAAUUCACUUUAUAUAUGUACUUGGUUAUUAUUAUUUACUCAUUAGGUAAGCCAGCCAGCCAGUCAGUCAGUAAAGGCAUUCAUUCCUUGAGUCACAGUUUUGGGCAUCUUGAUAUGAAAAAGCAAAAUGGUAGUACAAAAAAAUCCAACCAAGGGAAUGAGGAGACUUGAAGUCCAUAAGCAUUUACUGAUCAUACGUUAAGUACAAAAUGUACAUCAUAAUCUACUACAGAUAUGACGGAAACAGAAAUGACCAAGAUGUGUUCUCUACCUUCUGAGAGGGAAACGAGGCAUCCUAUGAUUAAUUCAAUUAAACAAAUAUUGAGUAAGUUCCUAUGUGCAGAGUAUUGUGUCUGUCAUAGUUAAGGAAACAGAGAAAUAGGACAUGGUCCCUGACAUGAAGGACUUUGUAGUCACAAAUGGAAGAAAAGUGAUACUGCUAUUGGAGAGCUGCAAAGCACUAUGGGAGCCCAAGACAAAAGAGAAUAUGUACCAAGUCAAAAAUCCAUUUUUAAUUUUUGCCAUAGUAAACAGAAAUAUAAUUUCCCUUUCUGUGGUUCAAGGCUGCUAAGAGCACCUUCACGAAAGCAGAUGAAAGAAGAGAUCAUUCAUUUUACUCUAAACAAAGAUUUUUCUAUGGUCCUAUACUAGGUGUUCAAUGUAAGAACAACAAGACAUGCUCUUUGCCCUCAAAGAAAUCAGUCAGUGUUUAUAACAUUUUGGAUUGUGGGGAGUAGAAAGUAGAAGUUUGGUUCUACUUUGUCUACCUAACAAUUCAAAGUGCCUUGAACAGUGCUUAGCAUAUGGUAGGUGCUCAAUAAAUGAUCAACUGAAGUGAACAAUAUUAAAUUUGCUACUUAAAGAAAGAAAAUGAAGUUGACUCUAAAAUAACAAAUACUUGACAUCUAAUUAUCCAAAGAAUACACUUAGGAAAGAUUACUUUUAUGUAAGAAGUCAUGAAUAAUUAAUCAAACCACAGGCCACUGGCUUGUUGUAAUACUAAUUCAAACAAGGUUUCUAAGCAGCAGGUCUCCACUCCCGAAGUCUUAGGAAGCAGAUGGUAACUAAUUGCUUUAAGGGGCACUUGGUUGACCACACUUGGUUCUUUAAGCCAGAGUAAGUUCAAUUUUUGGAACUCUCCUUAAGACAAAUCAACCUCCAACUCCUUAUAUAUAACAACCUGAUCUGUUUCUAAACAUGUAAUCUAGAAAGACCAAACUUGGUAAUGGUGUUGCUUAGAAAGAAAAAAUAAUGUCUUCAGGGCAUGGCAGGGGGAUUCUACUAGCAGCCUGGCCAAGAAAAGUUGCUGACUUGGCAUAUAAGAUAUGUAAAAAGCUUUUAAAAAAUUAAAGGUGCUAACAAUGCAGGUGGGAUUUAAAAAGAACAUGCACCACAUUGUGAUAUUUUUUCAAGAACAGAGAGGCCCAGAAUAUUGAGAUAUGAGCUGGUAAGAAUUAUGACAUUUACUUUAAAAUCUUUGACCAGUAAGAAGUGAUUCUAAAACACUUGCAAUAGGUUUGGCUCAUGGUCUCUGCACCUUGUUAUAGGCCAACUUGAUAAAAUACAGUGAUUUCACAUAGGAGCUUUUGAUUACAGACUGGCUUGAUUGUUAUCAAGUCUCUGCCAUUCACUAGCUGCUACAAACUUGGAUAAGUCAUUGAGUCUCACUUAAGCAUCAAUGCCACCUGUAAAUGAAGACUAUGAUGCCUAAUGUCAUGGGGUUGUGAUGGGGAGUACAUGAGAUAAUAGAGGUAAACAGCUUAGUACAGUGCCUGGCAUAUAACAAGUAUGGUGACUAUUACUAUUGUAAUUACGUUUGCUGAGAGGGAAAUGUUCUUUCCAAAAUUGGCUAAAAACCCUGUUUCAAACAUUUCUGAGACUGAAAUGAAAUAUAUAGAUGAUAGGUUUGCAGAAAUGGCAGUGGGUGUUUCAUUUUCAUAUAAUUAUAAUGUGCAGAAGAACAUGGCAGCAUCUUAUGCCAAUCAUGAAUCUUUUCUCAUAGUAAAAUUAUUUUAUGAGUGAACCUGAACUGUAUGUACAAUGUCUUACUAAAUAUGUACUUCCAUGUGACAUUUGGUAUCAUGGGUUUCUUGUGAAUUCUAUUUGAUGAUAAAAUAUAGAGAAGCCUAGCCUGGAAGGACCUCAAUGUAAAUAUCAUCUCUGUCACUUAAGGACGGUAAGCUCUGUCA
Symphalangus syndactylus (siamang) is the source of this 9604-nucleotide long non-coding RNA. RefSeq lists it as uncharacterized. The record is from RefSeq and is a predicted model, not a curated record. Lineage: Eukaryota; Metazoa; Chordata; Mammalia; Primates; Hylobatidae.